This 482-nucleotide ribosomal RNA is filed under the name uncultured bacterium. Its description in RNAcentral is "partial 16S ribosomal RNA". It matches the Rfam family "Bacterial small subunit ribosomal RNA", at positions 30 to 507 of the family's 1533-position model. The record is from RNAcentral.
UUGAACGCUGGCGGCAUGCCUUACACAUGCAAGUCGAACGGUAACAGGUCUUUCGGGAUGCUGACGAGUGGCGAACGGGUGAGUAAUACAUCGGAACGUGCCUAGUAGUGGGGGAUAACUACUCGAAAGAGUGGCUAAUACCGCAUGAGAUCUAUGGAUGAAAGCAGGGGACCUUUGGGCCUUGUGCUACUAGAGCGGCCGAUGGCAGAUUAGGUAGUUGGUGGGAUAAAAGCUUACCAAGCCUACGAUCUGUAGCUGGUCUGAGAGGACGAUCAGCCACACUGGGACUGAGACACGGCCCAGACUCCUACGGGAGGCAGCAGUGGGGAAUUUUGGACAAUGGGCGCAAGCCUGAUCAGCAAUGCCGCGUGCAGGAUGAAGGCCUUCGGGUUGUAAACUGCUUUUGUACGGAACGAAAAGUCUUGGGUUAAUACCCUGGGAUCAUGACGGUACCGUAAGAAUAAGCACCGGCUAACUACGUG